UACAGCCUCCUACAUCUCCC
RNAcentral lists this non-coding RNA (20 nucleotides) under Mus musculus (house mouse). Lineage: Eukaryota; Metazoa; Chordata; Mammalia; Rodentia; Muridae. The record is from RNAcentral.